RNAcentral lists this unclassified non-coding RNA (272 nucleotides) under Hevea brasiliensis (rubber tree). Lineage: Eukaryota; Viridiplantae; Streptophyta; Magnoliopsida; Malpighiales; Euphorbiaceae. The record is from RNAcentral.
ACUGUCUUCGCUGGUUUUCCGAUGACUGACUUGAAGACCGCCAUUGAAACUGCUGGGGACAUCACUCAGAUGCAAGUCCAAGUCAAGUUACUUGGGACCCAAUUUGGGGUUGCCCCUCCGAAAAGUCCGAUGCCUUCGAAUAUAUCUCUUGCAAAUGAUGGAUAUUUUUGUCCCAAGCCAACUCUACAAGGAAAGAGUGAGAUGCACGUCUGUUGCACACCCGAUCUACGCGUGAAAACAAAUAUCACAACCAGUGAAGCGUUCUUGCCUCG